This 72-nucleotide transfer RNA is filed under the name Pelecanus crispus (Dalmatian pelican). It matches the Rfam family "tRNA". Rfam says of the family: Transfer RNA (tRNA) molecules are approximately 80 nucleotides in length. Their secondary structure includes four short double-helical elements and three loops (D, anti-codon, and T loops). The record is from Rfam by way of RNAcentral. Lineage: Eukaryota; Metazoa; Chordata; Aves; Pelecaniformes; Pelecanidae.
GGAGAUGUACCUCAGAGGGAAAGCACUUGCUUUGCAUCUAAGAGGCCCUGGGUUCAACCCCCAGCGUCUCCA